RNAcentral lists this long non-coding RNA (957 nucleotides) under Mus musculus (house mouse). RNAcentral's name for it is "long non-coding RNA chr14:32299335-32300292". Lineage: Eukaryota; Metazoa; Chordata; Mammalia; Rodentia; Muridae. The record is from RNAcentral.
UCAUAAAGCCCUGUCAUGUCAGUUAGAGUGAGUAGUUAGAAAAGCUUGGGUGUGUAUUUUACACAUACCCAAAAGCUAGAGAAAUGAACGUAAGUAUAUCCACCAUCUUUUCUGAUGAUUAAUUUAUCCCCCAUUUCACCUUUACUACAUUCCUGCCUACUACCUACCUCUAAAUUAGGGAGUUCAUCUGAGACAUUUCAUCUGUAAUCAAUACAUCUUAAAAAGAUGUGCCCACAAUAACACACACAUAAUAACACAUGCAUAAUAGAGGACUAAUUUAAAAGAGCACUUAGACAUAAUUGUCAUUAUCCUGGUUAAAUACAGAUAAGACCCAUGGACGUGUGUGUGUGUGUGUGUGUGUGUGUGUGUGUGUGUGUGUGUGUGUGUGUGUGUGUGUGUUUAAGUACAAAAACAAAACUGGUACACUGAAAGAAGUAGAAGGAAAGGGGCAGACUAGCUAGAGACCCUGGGAGUCAACAACAGGGGUUCCUGUGGAUAUUCUUGUUACUUUGUAAACUCUGCUCUCACUAGAGAAACCAACAGCUGGGAAGUGCUGCAUGCAGAAGGAAAUGAGAAAGAAGAUGUGGUUAAAAGUGUUCAGAGAAAAAAUUUCUAUACAUUUCCCAAUUUGGCGAAUGACAUAUGAAACUUGUCAAGCUCAAACAAAAUGCCCCAGAAUGCAAGGUAACUUCCAAGAACUAAAGAAAAAAAAAUCUUGAAAGUAAUGAGCAAGGACAUAUUCCAGGACAAACAGUUCAAAUGACUGGAUUUAUCAGAAUCCAUAAAGAUGGGAAGGGAGUGCUGCAGACUGCACGGUCGCCAAAAGAAUUCAGCGAGAACAUAAUUCAGUGGGAGAGAGCACCAUGACAGUCUUGGACGCAGGAAAGCCAAGAGAACCUGUUGGCAGCUGACCUGACUAAUAGCCUGGCCAAAGCUCUUAAAAGAAAUGAAAUGUUU